This 443-nucleotide ribosomal RNA is filed under the name uncultured bacterium. Its description in RNAcentral is "partial 16S ribosomal RNA". It matches the Rfam family "Bacterial small subunit ribosomal RNA", at positions 338 to 795 of the family's 1533-position model. The record is from RNAcentral.
CCUACGGGUGGCAGCAGUGGGGGAUAUUGGACAAUGGGGGAAACCCUGAUCCAGCGACGCCGCGUGAGUGAAGAAGUAUUUCGGUAUGUAAAGCUCUAUCAGCAGGGAAGAAAGAGAUGACAGUACCUGAGUAAGCAGCCCCGGCUAACUGCGUGCCAGCAGCCGCGGUAAUACGUAGGGGGCAAGCGUUAGCCGUAAUUACUGGGGGUAAAGGGAGCGUAGACGGUGAUGCACGUCUGUAGUGAAAGGCGGGGGCCCACCCCCCGGACUGCUCUGGAAACUGUGUAACUGGAGUGUAGGAGAGGCAGGCGGAAUUCCUAGUGUAGCGGUGAAAUGCGUAGAUAUUAGGAGGAACACCAGUGGCGAAGGCGGCCUGCUGGACGGUAACUGACGUUGAGGCUCGAAAGCGUGGGGAGCAAACAGGAUUAGAUACCCGGGUAGUC